GUCUGCGGCCAUGCCACCCUGAACAAGCCCGAUGUCUGAUCUCGGAAGCUAAGCAGGAUCGAGCCUGGUUAGUACUUGGAUGGGAGACCACCUAGGAAGACCAGGUGUUGUAGGCA
Molecule: ribosomal RNA, 116 nt
Filed under: Pteropus alecto (black flying fox)
Lineage: Eukaryota; Metazoa; Chordata; Mammalia; Chiroptera; Pteropodidae
Also listed under: 1 other name
Source: RNAcentral